Loxodonta africana (African savanna elephant) is the source of this 107-nucleotide small nuclear RNA. NCBI's taxonomy places the organism in Eukaryota, Metazoa, Chordata, Mammalia, Proboscidea, Elephantidae. The record is from Ensembl.
GUGCUCGGUUCGGCAGCAUGUACACUAAAAUUGGAACGAUACAGAGAAGAUUAACAUGGACGCCUCGCAAGGAUGACACGCAAAUUCGUGAAGCAUUCCAUAUUAAA